RNAcentral lists this transfer RNA (66 nucleotides) under Euglesa coreana. Its description in RNAcentral is "tRNA-Gly". Lineage: Eukaryota; Metazoa; Mollusca; Bivalvia; Venerida; Sphaeriidae. The record is from RNAcentral.
AAUAAUAAUGGUGUAAAUAAGCAUUUUUUCUUUCCAAGUAAAAGGUUCAUAAUAUGAUUAUUAUUG